Molecule: long non-coding RNA, 393 nt
Filed under: Homo sapiens (human)
Lineage: Eukaryota; Metazoa; Chordata; Mammalia; Primates; Hominidae
Description: non-protein coding lnc-CASP9-8:2
Source: RNAcentral
CCGCCUCUCCACAGCCCUAGCCCUGUGUGUGCAUCCAGGUGGAGGAGCAGCCUUAGCCAGCUCCUAAGCUUCUUAGCCGGGCUGAAUAUUGGCGGGGACAGAGAUGAGGUUGAGAGAUAAGAAGGAAGGCGUCGAUGGGGCUUCUUCCCUUUCUUCUACUGGGAGCAGAAGAGUUGAGCCCUGCUGCCUCAGUUUACCCAUCCCCUCUUCACAGAAGAACUGAGGAUGAUUGGAUGAACAAAUUGCAGUAUGCAAUGGAAUAUUACUCAGCCGUGAAGAGUACUGAUACAUGCUACUACUACGUGGAUGAAGCUCCAAAACAUUAUGUUAGUUGAAAGAAGCCCGACAUAGAAGGUCACAUAUUAUACGAUUCAAUUUAUAUGAAAUAUCCAG